AUGUGUCAUCCUUUUGCCUCUAAGAUCUAUGUCGUGAUACCCUCCGGUCUAAGCCACUUAUGAUGGCCUUCUAACGCCUGAAACAAUGCUUUGGUGUCACUUAUGAACAUCACAAGUCCAAUUCCAAGGUUGUGAAGGACAAAAGAAAAAGGGGACAUGUAACUAUACGGGGAGAUUGUAGUAGGAUUUUAUUUGCCCAGUCACUAUCUGAUAGGUUCAAAUAAUGUAAAGUUAUUGGGAGCUUGUAGUUGGAUGGUUUCUCGAGUCAUUUAUCUGGUGGGUU
This is a long non-coding RNA of Arabidopsis thaliana (thale cress), 283 nucleotides long. RefSeq annotates it as other RNA. The transcript has 2 exons. The record is from RefSeq. NCBI's taxonomy places the organism in Eukaryota, Viridiplantae, Streptophyta, Magnoliopsida, Brassicales, Brassicaceae.